CCUCACAGCCAUGGAAAACCAGGGCCCGGCACCCCUUCUGUGUCUCUGCACCUCCCCGGGUUUGCCUGUGGACAUCUCUGUGUCCAGAGCAAGGCCAUUCAAGGUGAUGCCAACACUGGCCUCCGCUGCACCCCUCCCUGCUGUCAUUCCCGCAGGCCAGCAGUUCCCAGGCAGGAUCAGCACCUGUCACUCUGUCAAGACUGAUUAGGGCGCACACCUGUAAUUAGACCUAAUGGGGGUAAUUUCCAGGCCAGGCAGGCUGGCUCCUCUGGCAGGAGAUUCGUGGCAGGCGGAAUGUCGUCGUCGUCGUUGGCUGUAGACCCCUACCUACCCUACGAGUACACCUGCGAGGGGAUGCUGGAGCGGAUCCACGCCUACAUCCAGCACCAGGACUUCUGCAUAGCUCCAGGCCCUGCCCUACCAGAGGCCCACGCCCCGCAGAGCCCCUUUGUCCUGGCCCCCAAUGCCACCCACCUCGAGUGGGCUCGGAACACCAGCUUGGCUCCUGGGGCCUGGCCCCCCGCGCACGCCCUGCGGGCCUGGCUGGCCGUGCCUGGGAGGGCCUGCACCGACACCUGCCUGGACCACGGGCUGAUCUGUGAGCCCUCCUUCUUCCCCUUCCUGAACAGCCAGGAUGCCUUCCUCAAGCUGCAGGUACCCUGUGACAGCACCGAGUCGGAGAUGAACCACCUGUACCCGGCCUUCGCCCAGCCUGGCCAGGAGUGCUACCUGCAGAAGGAGCCUCUGCUCUUCAGCUGCGCCGGCUCCAACACCAAGUACCGCCGGCUCUGCCCCUGCCGCGACUUCCGCAAGGGCCAGGUGGCCUUGUGCCAGGGCUGUCUGUGAGUCCGCCUCUGCCGCCCUGCCUGGCACCCACGCUGGCUCUCUCCUGCCGCAGGAGAAA
RNAcentral lists this small RNA (904 nucleotides) under Pan troglodytes (chimpanzee). RNAcentral describes it as "processed transcript". The record is from RNAcentral. Lineage: Eukaryota; Metazoa; Chordata; Mammalia; Primates; Hominidae.